CUCACUUUGAAUUACCUCAAUUGGAUAUCGAGAGAAGAAGUUAUGAUAGAAACACUGAAAGCUGUGCAGUGUCAACCGGACUACAACCGGUCGACCGAAACUGCCUAAAAUGAAAAUUCUCGUUUUUCUCUAGAAUUUAAAUAUUUAUUUUCAUCAAUUAUUUUCUCAAAGGGCCACCCACGUUUUUGGCAAUGAAAACCCCACUAAAUUGAAGCAUUUAACCUCAAACUUAAAUGGCACCCAU
Molecule: long non-coding RNA, 244 nt
Filed under: Olea europaea (common olive)
Lineage: Eukaryota; Viridiplantae; Streptophyta; Magnoliopsida; Lamiales; Oleaceae
Description: long non-coding RNA (OEUR_LNC000540)
Source: RNAcentral